This 476-nucleotide ribosomal RNA is filed under the name Porphyrobacter sp. Sand_R2A_S1. Its description in RNAcentral is "bacterial SSU rRNA". It matches the Rfam family "Bacterial small subunit ribosomal RNA", at positions 68 to 590 of the family's 1533-position model. The record is from RNAcentral. Lineage: Bacteria; Pseudomonadati; Pseudomonadota; Alphaproteobacteria; Sphingomonadales; Erythrobacteraceae.
GAGACCUUCGGGUCUAGUGGCGCACGGGUGCGUAACGCGUGGGAACCUGCCUUUAGGUUCGGAAUAACUCAGAGAAAUUUGAGCUAAUACCGGAUAAUGUCUUCGGACCAAAGAUUUAUCGCCUUUAGAUGGGCCCGCGUUGGAUUAGCUAGUUGGUGGGGUAAAGGCCUACCAAGGCGACGAUCCAUAGCUGGUCUGAGAGGAUGAUCAGCCACACUGGGACUGAGACACGGCCCAGACUCCUACGGGAGGCAGCAGUGGGGAAUAUUGGACAAUGGGCGAAAGCCUGAUCCAGCAAUGCCGCGUGAGUGAUGAAGGCCUUAGGGUUGUAAAGCUCUUUUACCCGAGAUGAUAAUGACAGUAUCGGGAGAAUAAGCUCCGGCUAACUCCGUGCCAGCAGCCGCGGUAAUACGGAGGGAGCUAGCGUUGUUCGGAAUUACUGGGCGUAAAGCGCACGUAGGCGGCUUUUUAAGUCA